Non-coding RNA from Paramuricea clavata, 485 nucleotides. Lineage: Eukaryota; Metazoa; Cnidaria; Anthozoa; Malacalcyonacea; Plexauridae. The record is from the annotation of a GenBank genome assembly.
CCUUACCACUUGAGUCUCCCACUCACCACGUCGCUUUAUGAAAAUUUUUUGAUAAAAUCCUAUUUUAAAAAAGUCAACCCUAUACUUGAUAUGCUGAACAUAGACCUCUAAGAUAUCUCCUGUGGCAAUUAGUCGGUGCAAAUACUCGCAUAGUUGAGAAGCAAGAUAACCAAUGUGUGUCCAUCCAGUUCCAUAGUCUACAUCAAUUGCAAUUGCAAUUGCACUUGGGUCCAUUGGAUUCAAUGGCUCUGGCCGUAUUCUUACAUUCACUGGUUUAUCUUGUCCAUGAAGAGCAAGGUAUGCUGUUGAUGUUGGUAAUUUUUCUCAUGAGCAGCACCGAUGCACUUGAAUGGUACAGCAUGGGUGAUUUUGUCCUCGUCACUUUCAUCCUCAUCACUUAACUGGUCACCACUUUCUGCCCUAUCACCUUCAUUACCAUAUCCAUGCUGACCAGGUUCAAGACCAGCCAACCACUCAAGUAGAUC